This 252-nucleotide ribosomal RNA is filed under the name uncultured bacterium. RNAcentral's name for it is "partial 16S ribosomal RNA". It matches the Rfam family "Bacterial small subunit ribosomal RNA", at positions 524 to 776 of the family's 1533-position model. The record is from RNAcentral.
UACGUAGGUCCCGAGCGUUGUCCGGAUUUAUUGGGCGUAAAGCGAGCGCAGGUGGUUUAUUAAGUCUGGUGUAAAAGGCAGUGGCUCAACCAUUGUAUGCAUUGGAAACUGGUAGACUUGAGUGCAGGAGAGGAGAGUGGAAUUCCAUGUGUAGCGGUGAAAUGCGUAGAUAUAUGGGGGAACACCGGUGGCGAAAGCGGCUCUCUGGCCUGUAACUGACACUGAGGCUCGAAAGCGUGGGGAGCAAACAGG